Molecule: ribosomal RNA, 382 nt
Filed under: uncultured marine Chaetocerotaceae
Lineage: Eukaryota; Bacillariophyta; Thalassiosirophyceae; Chaetocerotales; Chaetocerotaceae
Description: SSU rRNA
Rfam family: Eukaryotic small subunit ribosomal RNA
Source: RNAcentral
AGCUUCAGUAGCGUAUAUUAAAGUUGUUGCAGUUAAAAAGCUCGUAGUCGCAUUUCUGGCGAGAGGAUCCGGUCCGACCUUUUGGUGGGUUCUUGGGUCUCUUUCGCCAUCCUUGAGUGGUCCGUUCUGGCAUUAGGUUGUCGGAGCGUCAGCCGCUCAUCGUUUACUGUGAGAAAAUUAGAGUGUUCAAAGCAGGCCUAUGCCGUUGAAUAUAUUAGCAUGGAAUAAUAAGAUAGGACCUCGGUACUAUUUUGUUGGUUUGCGCGCCAAGGUAAUGAUGAACAGGGACAGUUGGGGGUAUUUGUAUUUCGUUGUCAGAGGUGAAAUUCUUAGAUUUACGAAAGACAAACUACUGCGAAAGCAUUUACCAAGGAUGUUUUCA